Molecule: ribosomal RNA, 254 nt
Filed under: uncultured bacterium
Lineage: Bacteria
Description: partial 16S ribosomal RNA
Rfam family: Bacterial small subunit ribosomal RNA
Source: RNAcentral
UACAGAGGUCCCAAGCGUUGUUCGGAUUCACUGGGCGUAAAGGGUGCGUAGGUGGCUACUUUAAGUUUGAUGUGAAAGCUCCGGGCUCAACCCGGAAAUGACAUUGAAGACUAUUGAGCUAGAGGUUUGGAGGGGGGACUGGAAUGCUUGGUGUAGCAGUGAAAUGCGUAGAUAUCAAGCGGAACACCAGUGGCGAAGGCGACCACCUGGACUGAUACUGACACUGAGGUGCGAAAGCGUGGGGAGCAAACAGG